This 144-nucleotide long non-coding RNA is filed under the name Pongo abelii (Sumatran orangutan). RNAcentral's name for it is "lincRNA". The record is from RNAcentral. Lineage: Eukaryota; Metazoa; Chordata; Mammalia; Primates; Hominidae.
ACCUUUGCAAGAGGGUCCAAGACAUUUGCAUCAUCGUUCAGCGAGAGCUGUAAACACAGCAUCUGCCUUUGACCACAUCCAUCUGGAAGAACCUGAGAGAUAAUCCAUUUUAUGAAAUUUUCCCUACCCUGAAAUGGGAGAAGG